AUUUCUUGAUUGGAUUAUUUGUUCUUUGGGUGUUGAGUUUGUUUUGAGGACUAAAGAGUGAAGUGUUUGCUGUCCAAAAGUGGAAGGACACAGAUUCGAGACCAGAGACACUGGAAAACUGAAAAAAUAGUGAGCCUUUAUUGACUUGGGAAAGAAAACAGGUACCUGAAAAUGAGGGAUUCAUCAAUGGGACUGCUAAAACAGGACCAACUAGAAAGAAGGGCUCACUGACUUCUGAGUCAAAGACAGAAGAGGAUUAUACUGUGAAGAAUGAAAACGCAGACAUUUCAGAUCAGCAGGAUCGCAAGAUGGACACCUGAGGCCCACAGCAAGUGGCUUGCCCAUGGUCACAAGGAAAGUGAAUGAAAAGAGGAACUUUAGGAAGAGAUGGGAAGAGAGGAACUACUGAAGGAGACUACUGAGAAGGAACACGCU
Mustela erminea (ermine) is the source of this 435-nucleotide long non-coding RNA. RefSeq lists it as uncharacterized. The transcript has 3 exons. Lineage: Eukaryota; Metazoa; Chordata; Mammalia; Carnivora; Mustelidae. The record is from RefSeq and is a predicted model, not a curated record.